AUCAGACUAUUUUGUAAAUCACAUACAUCCUUUCCGGAUAACUUACUUCUGCAUACGCAUAAAAAAGAAAUACAAAAAUUUCAUAAAAAUCUUCACAACUUUAUAUACCGUCAAAUAAAUAAGAAAAAUGAGAAACUUUCCACUCUUCCUUGUCGCCUUCCUAAUUUCCGCGUCUGAAGGGCGUCGCUUCGUCAACGUGGCGACGGGGAAAUGUCUCGACAGCAAUGGAAACGGCGACGUUUACGCGCUUGGCUGUAACGGUGGAAAUUAUCAAAACUGGGACUGGCGAGGCGACCAAAGCAUCGUCAAUGUCGCGACGGGAAAAUGUCUGGACACGAAUGGGCGCAAAUUGUACGCUAUUGGCUGUAACGGAGGGUCUUAUCAGAAAUGGCACGGCACAAACAACCUCGGCGUCGUCGAUGUCGCAACGGGCCACUGUCUGGACAGCAAUGGGCAUGGUGACGCGUACCCCUUGAACUGUAAUGGGGGUAGUUACCAAAAGUGGGUGGCGUAAUGUGGUGAGAUUAUGAAAAUUUCGAGUCUCGAGGUGGAAAAAUAGUUUAUUUCUGUGAUUCGGAAAAUUGUCAAAGCUUAGAAAACUACAUAUAUAAUUCUAGUUAGUUUUAUACUUGUAAUUAAUUAAUAUGCGUAAUAUUUUUAGGGUACAUUUUCACUAAAACACCACACAAAUCAUUCUACUUAUCUUAAUUGCCAUGUGCAUGUGUACGGUUUAUUUUAUAGAUGGCUUUAAUAAUAAAUAAGUCCUUAAUUGUUAUUUUGAGUAAUUA
Molecule: long non-coding RNA, 788 nt
Organism: Folsomia candida
Lineage: Eukaryota; Metazoa; Arthropoda; Collembola; Entomobryomorpha; Isotomidae
Exons: 2
Source: RefSeq, a predicted model, not a curated record